RNAcentral lists this ribosomal RNA (405 nucleotides) under Xanthobacteraceae bacterium. RNAcentral describes it as "bacterial SSU rRNA". It matches the Rfam family "Bacterial small subunit ribosomal RNA", at positions 1 to 436 of the family's 1533-position model. Lineage: Bacteria; Pseudomonadati; Pseudomonadota; Alphaproteobacteria; Hyphomicrobiales; Xanthobacteraceae. The record is from RNAcentral.
CAACUUGAGAGUUUGAUCCUGGCUCAGAGCGAACGCUGGCGGCAGGCCUAACACAUGCAAGUCGAGCGCCCCGCAAGGGGAGCGGCAGACGGGAGAGUAACACGUGGGAACGUACCCUUCAGUUCGGAACAACCCAGGGAAACUUGGGCUAAUACCGGAUACGUCCGUAAGGAGAAAGAUUUAUCGCUGAAGGAUCGGCCCGCGUCUGAUUAGCUUGUUGGUGAGGUAACGGCUCACCAAGGCUACGAUCAGUAGCUGGUCUGAGAGGAUGAUCAGCCUCACUGGGACUGAGACACGGCCCAGACUCCUACGGGAGGCAGCAGUGGGGAAUAUUGGACAAUGGGCGCAAGCCUGAUCCAGCCAUGCCGCGUGAGUGAUGAAGGCCCUAGGGUUGUAAAGCUCUUU